GCUAGUCGUACGAGUUCAUACUCGUGGCGAAUAGCUCAGUAACACGUGGCCAAACUACCCUUCGGAGCACGAUACCCUCGGGAAACUGAGGCUAAUAGUGCAUACCACAAUCCAGCUGGAAUGAGGAUUGUGCCAAACGCUCCGGCGCCGAAGGAUGUGGCUGCGGCCGAUUAGGUAGACGGUGGGGUAACGGCCCACCGUGCCAAUAAUCGGUACGGGUCAUGAGAGUGAGAACCCGGAGACGGAAUCUGAGACAAGAUUCCGGGCCCUACGGGGCGCAGCAGGCGCGAAACCUUUACACUGCACGCCAGUGCGAUAAGGGAGUCCCAAGUGCGCAGGCAUAGAGCCUGCGCUUUUGUACACCGUAGGGAGGUGUACGAAUAAGGGCUGGGCAAGACCGGUGCCAGCCGCCGCGGUAAUACCGGCAGCCCGAGUGAUGGCCGAUCUUAUUGGGCCUAAAGCGUCCGUAGCUGGCCGCACAAGUCCAUCGGAAAAUCCACCCGCUCAACGGGUGGGCGUCCGGUGGAAACUGUGUGGCUU
This 540-nucleotide ribosomal RNA is filed under the name uncultured Halorubrum sp. RNAcentral describes it as "bacterial SSU rRNA". It matches the Rfam family "Archaeal small subunit ribosomal RNA", at positions 53 to 594 of the family's 1478-position model. The record is from RNAcentral. Lineage: Archaea; Methanobacteriati; Methanobacteriota; Halobacteria; Halobacteriales; Haloferacaceae.